GCUCCGUUGGUGAACCAGCGGAGGGAUCAUUACCGAGUUUACAACUCCCAAACCCAAUGUGAACCAUACCAAACUGUUGCCUCGGCGGGGUCACGCCCCGGGUGCGUCGCAGCCCCGGAACCAGGCGCCCGCCGGAGGGACCAACCAAACUCUUUCUGUAGUCCCCUCGCGGACGUUAUUUUUACAGCUCUGUGCAAAAAUUCAAAAUGAAUCAAAACUUUCAACAACGGAUCUCUUGGUUCUG
RNAcentral lists this unclassified non-coding RNA (244 nucleotides) under plant metagenome. Its description in RNAcentral is "partial contains small subunit ribosomal RNA, internal transcribed spacer 1, and 5.8S ribosomal RNA". The record is from RNAcentral.